RNAcentral lists this ribosomal RNA (800 nucleotides) under Crystallibacter crystallopoietes. RNAcentral's name for it is "bacterial SSU rRNA". It matches the Rfam family "Bacterial small subunit ribosomal RNA", at positions 56 to 868 of the family's 1533-position model. The record is from RNAcentral. Lineage: Bacteria; Bacillati; Actinomycetota; Actinomycetes; Micrococcales; Micrococcaceae.
UGCAGUCGAACGAUGAUCCGGUGCUUGCACCGGGGAUUAGUGGCGAACGGGUGAGUAACACGUGAGUAACCUGCCCUUGACUCUGGGAUAAGCCUGGGAAACCGGGUCUAAUACCGGAUACGACCUGUCACCGCAUGGUGGUGGGUGGAAAGAUUUUUUGGUUUUGGAUGGACUCGCGGCCUAUCAGCUUGUUGGUGAGGUAAUGGCUCACCAAGGCGACGACGGGUAGCCGGCCUGAGAGGGUGACCGGCCACACUGGGACUGAGACACGGCCCAGACUCCUACGGGAGGCAGCAGUGGGGAAUAUUGCACAAUGGGCGAAAGCCUGAUGCAGCGACGCCGCGUGAGGGAUGACGGCCUUCGGGUUGUAAACCUCUUUCAGCAGGGAAGAAGCGAAAGUGACGGUACCUGCAGAAGAAGCGCCGGCUAACUACGUGCCAGCAGCCGCGGUAAUACGUAGGGCGCAAGCGUUGUCCGGAAUUAUUGGGCGUAAAGAGCUCGUAGGCGGUUUGUCGCGUCUGCUGUGAAAGCCCGGGGCUCAACCCCGGGUCUGCAGUGGGUACGGGCAGACUAGAGUGCAGUAGGGGAGACUGGAAUUCCUGGUGUAGCGGUGAAAUGCGCAGAUAUCAGGAGGAACACCGAUGGCGAAGGCAGGUCUCUGGGCUGUAACUGACGCUGAGGAGCGAAAGCAUGGGGAGCGAACAGGAUUAGAUACCCUGGUAGUCCAUGCCGUAAACGUUGGGCACUAGGUGUGGGGGACAUUCCACGUUUUCCGCGCCGUAGCUAACGCAUUAAGUGCC